AUGGAUGCAAUCAUUUCUGCGCUUCUUGGUGAUCUUGUCGGCAGAGCUAUAUCCUUCGUGGUCGAGAAGCGCCAUGAGCAGACAACCGCUGAUGAGUAUCUGCAGAGGCUGCGCCAGCUGCUUCUGAGGAUAAGUGCCGUUGUCGAGGAGGCCGAGGGACGGUGUGUCACUAACCGGGGGAUGAUACAUCAGGCUAGCACGAUGAGAGAGCAAAUGUUCAGAGGGUACUACCUUCUCGAUGCCUUCAGAUGCAGAGAGAAGAAGACCGAUGACGAGGAGGUGAGUCUCUGCUCGUUCGUUCAAUCCAAAUUUAAUCCGGCUAAGCGCUUUCGUCGCCUUUCUAAUGACACCCAAAUUGGGAGCAUGGAAUUUGGUAGAGACGUCAGUAAGGAGUUGAAACAUGUUGUUCUUGUCCUGGAAAGAAUGGUUGCUGAUAUGAAGGAGUUUGUUAUAUUUCUGAUGAGCUACCCUCGCAUGUACCGCCAACCUUAUGGUGCAUAUUUAUUUUUUGACAAGUGUAUGUUCGGCCGCCAAAUGGAGAGGGAACAAGCCAUCAGCUUCUUGCUACAAGCUGAUCCUCUAGGGGCUGGGGGUUUGGGUGUCCUUCCAAUCGUUGGUCCUAGACUUAUUGGGAAGAGCACUCUUGUGGAAUAUGUUUGCAAUGAUGAGCGUGUGCGCAGUCACUUCUCCUCGAUCUUGCUCUACAGCGGAAACAGCCUUAAAGAUGAAACGGUGAUGACUUUUAGAGAUCAUUGUGUGAUCAAGCAUCAAAAUAUUGCAUCAGGUAAUGAAAGGUCAUUGGUUGUUAUUGAGCUGGUAGGGGAUGUGGACGAAGGAGCGUGGAAGAGGCUGAUGCACUCUGCUGAAAGAUGCAUGACAAGUGGGAGUAAAAUCAUAGUGACUAGCCGAUCAGACAAGACAGUCAGGCUUGGAACAACAGAAGCCAUCAAGCUAAGUUGUUUGUCUAAAGAAGCUUACUGGUAUUUCUUCAAGAUGCUUGUGUUUGGAAGCACGGACCCGGAGGAGCACCCAAUGUUAACAUCCAUAGCCAUGGAGCUUGCCCUCGAGAUGUGCGGAUCUUUCAUCCAUGCAUAUCUUGUGGCGGCCUUACUGAGAGAAAAUCUCAGUGCCCAGUUCUGGCGCAGGGUUCUCAGAAACUUUAGGAAGUACAUGCAGAAGAACGCAUUGUUGUCUGGUGAUUAUAUUGACGAGGAUAAGUCUCGGUAUGUUUGGAGCAUUGCUAAAACUCGGCGAGUUUCUGAGGAUCUUAAUUUCUGUGUGCUACAUGAUAGUUACCAAAAUGGGCCUGCUGCUCAUACAGUCUCACUACAGGUGAGGGCGGUCGACCUCCUAUCUGGGAGCGCCGCCGAGCCGCGGGGCAGGUCUGAGGUGCUGUUCUGGAGGUCCCUCGUACCACCGUACUACAGGUACAUGUAUGUGUGCGAGUGCAAGUUUGUGCGGCACAAGAACAAGAACAACCCGAUUGAAAUGGAGCCAUAG
RNAcentral lists this ribosomal RNA (1500 nucleotides) under Triticum aestivum (bread wheat). Its description in RNAcentral is "partial small subunit ribosomal RNA". Lineage: Eukaryota; Viridiplantae; Streptophyta; Magnoliopsida; Poales; Poaceae. The record is from RNAcentral.